Molecule: ribosomal RNA, 253 nt
Filed under: uncultured bacterium
Lineage: Bacteria
Description: partial 16S ribosomal RNA
Rfam family: Bacterial small subunit ribosomal RNA
Source: RNAcentral
UACAGAGGGGGCAAGCGUUGUUCGGAAUUACUGGGCGUAAAGGGCGCGUAGGCGGCUUUCUAAGUCGAACGUGAAAUCCCUGGGCUCAACCCAGGAACUGCGUCCGAUACUGGAAGGCUUGAAUCCGGGAGAGGGAUGCGGAAUUCCAGGUGUAGCGGUGAAAUGCGUAGAUAUUACAAGGAACACCAAUGGCGAAGGCAGCUUGCUGGGCCUUUUCUGACGCUGAGGUACGAAAGCGUGGGGAGCGAACAGG